Molecule: ribosomal RNA, 497 nt
Filed under: uncultured bacterium
Lineage: Bacteria
Description: partial 16S ribosomal RNA
Rfam family: Bacterial small subunit ribosomal RNA
Source: RNAcentral
GAUGAACGCUGGCGGCGUGCCUAAUACAUGCAAGUCGAGCGAACAGACGAGGAGCUUGCUCCUUUGACGUUAGCGGCGGACGGGUGAGUAACACGUGGAUAACCUACCUAUAAGACUGGGAUAACUUCGGGAAACCGGAGCUAAUACCGGAUAACAUGUUGAACCGCAUGGUUCAACAGUGAAAGACGGUCUUGCUGUCACUUAUAGAUGGAUCCGCGCCGCAUUAGCUAGUUGGUAAGGUAACGGCUUACCAAGGCAACGAUGCGUAGCCGACCUGAGAGGGUGAUCGGCCACACUGGAACUGAGACACGGUCCAGACUCCUACGGGAGGCAGCAGUAGGGAAUCUUCCGCAAUGGGCGAAAGCCUGACGGAGCAACGCCGCGUGAGUGAAGAAGGUCUUCGGAUCGUAAAACUCUGUUAUUAGGGAAGAACAAAUGUGUAAGUAACUAUGCACGUCUUGACGGUACCUAAUCAGAAAGCCCCGGCUAACUACGUG